CUCAUAUAUUUAAUCAAAAGAAAGACUUUGACAAGGCCAUGAAUUCUCUAAUUAACCACUUAUAUCUGUAAGAAAAUACUCUCCUUGUUGCAACUGAAUAUUAUGAACUAAUUUUAACAUAUUUUUACAGGGAAGCAUAUUUUGAAAUCAAGUCUCCAAAAGGCCAAUCCUCUAAAGAGAAAGAUCAGCUAAGUCAAUUUUGGAACUAUAAAACAUCCAAUACUUCUACCAC
RNAcentral lists this long non-coding RNA (232 nucleotides) under Elaeis guineensis (African oil palm). Its description in RNAcentral is "long non-coding RNA (EGUI_LNC057817)". The record is from RNAcentral. Lineage: Eukaryota; Viridiplantae; Streptophyta; Magnoliopsida; Arecales; Arecaceae.